RNAcentral lists this unclassified non-coding RNA (1678 nucleotides) under Hevea brasiliensis (rubber tree). The record is from RNAcentral. Lineage: Eukaryota; Viridiplantae; Streptophyta; Magnoliopsida; Malpighiales; Euphorbiaceae.
AAAAAAUUAACACCUCAUCCUCUUCAAUUCUCUUCUCUCAUCGCCUCUCUUUCUCUCUCUACGCUGCUACACGCAAUUCGUCCGCCAUCUGCCGCCGUUCUCCGCCCUACCUCAUGACCUCUACCAUCUCUGCCUCCUCCCCUUGGCCCGAAGGCCCUUUCGUUUCCCCUCCUAUGUCGGAAAAUUCUCCUGAUUCCGGUGAUCGUUCCUCUCUCUCUGACCUCUCCGAUAUCUCAGCUGCCGUAACUGACGUCGUUGAUGAUGAACGCGGUUCUCAAACCUCGUUUACCUCUCCCAUUAAUGCACCCGCCACUAGCGUACAGAACGUGAACCCUAGCCCUAAUUCUAUUUCUCUUCCCGUUGAUUCAUCUACUCCCAAUGUCCUUUACCUAUCCUUCAACCAGGAUUACGGAUGCUUCGCGGCAGGCACCGAUCGAGGGUUCCGGAUCUACAACUGUGAUCCGCUCCGUGAGAUUUUCCGCCGCGAUUUUACCGGCAAUUCUAAUGGUGGAGGUGGAAUUGGCGUUGUUCAGAUGCUUUUUCGGUGCAAUAUUUUGGCGUUGGUUGGUGGAGGUCCGGAGCCUCAAUAUCCCUUAAAUAAGGUGAUGAUAUGGGAUGAUCAUCAAUCUAGGUGCAUCGGCGAGCUAUCGUUUCGAUCUGAGGUGAAAUCUGUGAGGCUGAGAAGGGAUAGAAUUGUGGUUGUUUUGGCCCAGAAGAUAUUUGUUUACAACUUCUCGGAUUUGAAACUGUUACAUCAGAUUGAGACAGUGGCGAACCCCAAGGGUUUGUGUGAGGUGUCACAGGUAUCGGGAUCAAUGGUUCUGGUUUGUCCGGGUCUUCAGAAGGGUCAGGUGAGAGUGGAACAUUAUGCUUCUAAGAGGACCAAGUUUAUAAUGGCACAUGACUCAAGGAUUGUGUGCUUUGCGCUUACAAAUGAUGGGAGGUUGUUGGCUACUUCUAGCAGUAAAGGGACUCUUGUCAGAAUAUAUAAUACUUUAGAUGGAUCUUUGGUCCAAGAGGUCAGAAGAGGCGCAGAUAGAGCAGAAAUCUAUAGCCUUGCUUUUUCUCCAACUGCACAAUGGCUAGCUGUUUCCAGUGAUAAAGGAACUGUCCAUGUGUUCAAUCUAAAGGUUGAUUCAGCAGCUUUAGGAGUUGAUAGACCAAGAGGGGCAUCUGAGUCAAAUGCUACAUCUCCAUCAGCUGUGUCUCAUCUCUCCUUCAUAAGAGGUGUGCUACCAAAGUAUUUCAGCUCUGAGUGGUCUGUGGCGCAGUUCCGCUUGCAAGAAGGUCUGCAGCACAUUGUGGCCUUCGGUCACCAAAAGAAUACGGUUGUGAUUCUUGGCAUGGAUGGAAGUUUCUACCGAUGCCAGUAUGAUGCAGCAACUGGUGGGGAGAUGACCCUGUUGGAACAUCAUAGUUUCUUGAAGUCUGAGGAGAACUUCUAACUUGGGAAGCUCGCUGGAUGCAUGCUACCCUUCUUGUGUGGCUUUUGUUUUUACUGUAUCUAUUUAUAAUUUCGCAGGUGGACAUGGUAGUGACUGUAUAUAAACAUAAUCCAAAAAAGAUGUACAUAUAUAUAAAAGAUGAGAACUGGCGGCUUUUGUUACAACCUUCUGGCUGUAUUUAGGUUACUACUGUGUCGUCGUAGUACACUGAAGUAUUGUUAUGGACAUGCUUG